RNAcentral lists this ribosomal RNA (468 nucleotides) under uncultured bacterium. RNAcentral describes it as "partial 16S ribosomal RNA". It matches the Rfam family "Bacterial small subunit ribosomal RNA", at positions 28 to 507 of the family's 1533-position model. The record is from RNAcentral.
GACGAACGCUGGCGGCGUGCUUAACACAUGCAAGUCGAACGGAAAGGCCCUGCUUUUGUGGGGUGCUCGAGUGGCGAACGGGUGAGUAACACGUGAGUAACCUGCCCUUGACUUUGGGAUAACUUCAGGAAACUGGGGCUAAUACCGGAUAGGAGCUCCUGCUGCAUGGGGGGGGUUGGAAAGUUUCGGCGGUUGGGGAUGGACUCGCGGCUUAUCAGCUUGUUGGUGGGGUAGUGGCUUACCAAGGCUUUGACGGGUAGCCGGCCUGAGAGGGUGACCGGCCACAUUGGGACUGAGAGACGGCCCAGACUCCUACGGGAGGCAGCAGGGGGGAAUAUUGCACAAUGGGCGGAAGCCUGAUGCAGCAACGCCGCGUGCGGGAUGACGGCCUUCGGGUUGUAAACCGCUUUCGCCUGUGACGAAGCGUGAGUGACGGUAAUGGGUAAAGAAGCACCGGCUAACUACGUG